Molecule: ribosomal RNA, 253 nt
Filed under: uncultured bacterium
Lineage: Bacteria
Description: partial 16S ribosomal RNA
Rfam family: Bacterial small subunit ribosomal RNA
Source: RNAcentral
UACGUAGGUGGCAAGCGUUAUCCGGAAUUACUGGGCGUAAAGCGUGCGCAGGCGGUUUUGUAAGCCAGAUGUGAAAGCCCCGGGCUUAACCUGGGAAUGGCAUUUGGGACUGCAAGGCUUGAGUGCGGCAGAGGAGACUGGAAUUCCUGGUGUAGCAGUGAAAUGCGUAGAUAUCAGGAGGAAUACCGAUGGCGAAGGCAGGUCUCUGGGCUGACACUGACGCUCAUGCACGAAAGCGUGGGGAGCAAACAGG